UAGACGGCGUGAAAACGGAAACAAGUUUCCCAGAGACUAUGGGUUGAGGAGGAAUUGGAAGUUUGUCGGCUUAGACCUGGUGUCGUUCCAUCAGUGUUAAACUUCCGGGCUCAUCUUGGAAGAGUAUGUGCCAGAAAGACCACAACCAAGCAGCCUUGAGAUCUUAGGCAGCGUCUCCCUCAGGUCCCUCUCUAUCUCCCUGCACAUCCACCAACCACUGGAACACAUCUCCAAAGUUCUGCUGGGCCAGCUCAGCUUCCCCUCAGAAGAAGUUCCACCACCUGCCAGAUGAAGGAGCCUUUUGAGAGGCAGCUGGCAUCGUGAUUGGACUGUACUUUGGUCUGUUCCAAUCCAGCUUCAGGUCCAGAGACGGCAGGCGGGACGAGUCAACGGAGGCCGGGUGGACGAAGGCAUGCAGCUGAGUACAAUCCAGAAAACAGAGGAGGAGUGCAGGGCUCAGGGCCAGAACAAACAUUAGCAUCAUAUGUCUCUUAGAAAACAUCAUAGUAUAGCCUUUGGUAUGAAAAAAACGCCAUAAUAUACAUCGUAUAUUGUACAAAUAACAAGUCAAAGGAAAGAGACAUACAUUGUAGAAUUGUAGUAAUUGUGGGCUGACUGAUUUACUGAUUAUCAGUAUUUUAUUUUUUACUGAUUAAUGGUAAUAAAUACAUUUUAAAAUGGUGCUACUUUGGCUCUGAACCUUGAUCUACUUGUGGUCGCUCUGUCUUCUGGAGUGAUUUGAUUGGUUAUACGUAACGAAUAAAACUCCUUUAACUUAACAUCUGUAAACAAAACAAAAACGUAUCAACAAAGUUUUCUGUUAAAGUUUGUGUUCUUGUAAGUUUAACUCCAAGAUUUUAAAUACUUUCAUUUACUGCAAAUGAAUAUCUAUUCCAAAUGUCUCACUAAUAAUCAUUAUCAGCCUUAAAAACCCACAAAACACCCCUCUAUACUCGACCACACUUAGUACAGUCCGGUUCCCCCUUCUAUAAAUCUG
Long non-coding RNA from Amphiprion ocellaris (clown anemonefish), 997 nucleotides. NCBI's taxonomy places the organism in Eukaryota, Metazoa, Chordata, Actinopteri, Pomacentridae. The record is from Ensembl.